Molecule: long non-coding RNA, 1153 nt
Organism: Suricata suricatta (meerkat)
Lineage: Eukaryota; Metazoa; Chordata; Mammalia; Carnivora; Herpestidae
Exons: 3
Source: RefSeq, a predicted model, not a curated record
CAUGGCGCGGAUCAUGGCCUGCAUGGCGGUGAAGAUGUUCUGGUACACCAGCUUGGUGAAGCCCCGCUUGUCCUCCUCCGAGUAGCCCGCCCCGUGGAUGAUGCGCAUCUGCUUGAUGAACGUGCUCUUCCCGCUCUCGCCCGUGCCUGCGGGGCGGGGCACGAGGCGUGAGGGGGUACGGGGUGCACCAGGCUCUUCCCGGGCACUACGCUGACCCCCACUCAGCCUCGAGGGAUCAAAAGGAUCAGAAAGUCAGCUGGAAAGGCGCAGCCCCAUGGGGUCCGCGAGCAGCACACCCUGGCCUCGCUGCAGCAGACACAGCCUGGGAUCCCCCCAGGGUUAGCCUCACACCCCCCGGGGAAGGGGGCACCCCACACUCUGGGCCGGUUAGUGCCCGCCACCUCCGCCACGCCCCCUUCCCGAGGGGGAGACCGAGGCCCCGGUGGCGAGCUCAGGCUGGGCUCCGCGACUGACUUCCAGCCAACAGAGGACAGAUGACAGGGCGUCACUUCCGAAACGAGGCCCGCACCGUCUGGCACUGCUGGCCCAGGGGAGGGGAGAGGUGGGGAGGGGCCAGCAGCCACACUGAGGACACUCGAGCAGUGGCGCGGAGAGGUCACCGGAAGGGCUGUGGCCGGAACCGGCUGAGCCCCACGGGGGACCCCCAGCCAGGCCGCCCAGACCCCCAGAGAGUAAGUCCGGGAGUGACGCUAUCACACAGCAGAGACACUGUAAGUUCAGCUCACAGACCGACGCCCCAGGGCCUCCUCCCGGGACUCGGGCUCCCCAGGCUCGUCCCACCUGCUGCGCAGGCUCGUUGUCACCACCGUGUCUGAGUCGGCCCCGCGCCCUCCCCGCACGCGGAGCCGUGGCCAUGCGGUGGCCCCAGCGGGGAGUCUCUCUGCAGGUGUCUGCAGCCCGGGAGCUGCCGCAGGGCGCCGGUUCUGCAGGCCCCGCGUGUCCACACUGUCCUGCGCCCGGGAAGCCCCACACCACUAUCUGAGUGACUGACCGCACUCAGGGAGGCCCGAGCCCCGACCAGACACCUUGAAGCAGGGCCUUGACCGAGGCACCUCUGCAGCCCUUCCAUCCGCAGCCUGGGAUCCGCCAUGGAGUCGUGAUCUCGUGGUUCAUGGGUUCAAUCCACACGUCA